Arvicanthis niloticus (Nile rat) is the source of this 242-nucleotide non-coding RNA. The record is from RefSeq and is a predicted model, not a curated record. Lineage: Eukaryota; Metazoa; Chordata; Mammalia; Rodentia; Muridae.
UCAGAACUACUCUCGCUGCAAGAGGAGGCCUCUGAGGAAGACUGAGGAAAGAACACCUGGUGAACCGCCGGUGUGUGUACUCAAGGCUACUCUCAGCUCAGGUCUCCAGACACUGAAAAGAGGAAGCGGUGGCCGUGGUAAAGGCGAGCGUGGUCCCAGUUUAUACCAGAUGGUUGGUGGAAAGGCUGUCAGGAUGCCACUGCCGGAGUUGGGAGAGAGGCUGAAGGAAGGCGGGAAGAAGG